This is a non-coding RNA of Caenorhabditis elegans, 72 nucleotides long. The record is from the annotation of a RefSeq genome assembly. NCBI's taxonomy places the organism in Eukaryota, Metazoa, Nematoda, Chromadorea, Rhabditida, Rhabditidae.
GAGUUUUGGCUCAACUGGUAAGAGGGUUGACUUGUGGGCAAUAGGUCCGGGGUUCGACCCCCGUAAGGGUCA